This 649-nucleotide ribosomal RNA is filed under the name uncultured bacterium. RNAcentral's name for it is "partial 16S ribosomal RNA". The record is from RNAcentral.
UACGGUUACCUUGUUACGACUUCGUCCCAGUCACCAGUCCCACCCUCGGCGCCUGCCCCCCUUGCGGGUUGGCCCAGCGACUUCAAGUGUUACCGACUUCCAUGACGUGACGGGCGGUGUGUACAAUCCCCGGGAACGUAUUCAACGCAGUGUGCUGACCUGCGUUUACUAGCAACUCCGCGUUCAUGCAGGCGGGUUUCAGCCUGCAAUUCCAACUGAGGCCGAAUUUGUGGGAUUAGCUCCGGCUCGCGCCUUCGCGACCCUCUGUUUCGGCCAUUGUAGCGUGUGUGCAGCCCAGAGCGUAAGAGCCGUGCUGACUUGACGUCAUCCCCACCUUCCUCUCCCCUUUUAGGAGCAGUCUCGCUAGACAUAGUAACUAACGACAAGGGUUGCGCUCGUUGCGGGACUUAACCCAACACCUCACGGCACGAGCUGACGACAGCCAUGCAACAUCUGUGUAUCCGUCUCCGAAGAGAAAACCUGGUUUCCCAGGCGGUCAGAAACAUGUCAAGCCCUGGUAAGGUUCUUCGCUUAUCAUCGAAUUAAACCACACGCUCCGCUGCUUGUGCGGGGACCCGUCAAUUCCUUUGAGUUUUAGCCUUGCGGCCGUACUCCCCAGGCGGGAUACUUAUCGCGUUAGCUUCGACAC